AUAAUACUCCAUAGAUUAGAGACACUGGAAUGUUCUUUAGUCGAAAGUUCUGGCGCCUUAGGAUGGAUCUGCGGUCGAUUAGGUUGUUGUUGGGGUAACGGCCCAACAAGCCUGUAAUCGAUACGGGUUGUGGGAGCAAGAGCCCGGAGAUGGAAUCUGAGGCACGAUUCCAGGCCCUACGGGGCGCAGCAGGCGCGAAAACUUUACAAUGCAGGAAACUGUGAUAAGGGAACUCCGAGUGCCCGUAUACGCGGGCUGUCCAGGUGUUUAAAAAUCAUCUGAAGAAAGGGCCGGGCAAGACCGGUGCCAGCCGCCGCGGUAAUACCGGCGGCUCGAGUGGUGGCCACUAUUAUUGGGCUUAAAGCGUCCGUAGCUGGACCGAUAAGUCUCUUGGGAAAUCCGCCGGCUCAACCGGCGGGCGUCUAAGGGAUACUGUUAGUCUAGGGACCGGGAGAGGUGAGAGGUACUCCGGGGGUAUGAGUGAAAUCCUGUAAUCCCCGGGGGACCACCGAUGGCGAAGGCAUCUCACCAGAACGGCUCCGACAGUGAGGGACGAAAGCUGGGGGAGCGAACCGGAUUAAAUACCCGGGUAGUCCCAUCCGUAAACUAUGCGCGUUAGGUGU
This 623-nucleotide ribosomal RNA is filed under the name uncultured archaeon. RNAcentral's name for it is "bacterial SSU rRNA". It matches the Rfam family "Archaeal small subunit ribosomal RNA", at positions 146 to 774 of the family's 1478-position model. The record is from RNAcentral.